AACGAACGCUGGCGGCAGGCUUAACACAUGCAAGUCGAGCGAGGUCUUCGGACCUAGCGGCGGACGGGUGAGUAACGCGUGGGAACGUGCCCUUUGCUACGGAAUAGUCCCGGGAAACUGGGUUUAAUACCGUAUGUGCCCUCCAUUUUGGUGAUGGUUGGGGAAAGAUUUAUCGGCAAAGGAUCGGCCCGCGUUGGAUUAGGUAGUUGGUGGGGUAAUGGCCUACCAAGCCGACGAUCCAUAGCUGGUUUGAGAGGAUGAUCAGCCACACUGGGACUGAGACACGGCCCAGACUCCUACGGGAGGCAGCAGUGGGGAAUCUUAGACAAUGGGGGCAACCCUGAUCUAGCCAUGCCGCGUGAGUGAUGAAGGCCCUAGGGUUGUAAAGCUCUUUCAGCUGGGAAGAUAAUGACGGUACCAGCAGAAGAAGCCCCGGCUAACUCCGUGCCAGCCGCCGCCGUAACAC
Molecule: ribosomal RNA, 466 nt
Filed under: uncultured bacterium
Lineage: Bacteria
Description: bacterial SSU rRNA
Rfam family: Bacterial small subunit ribosomal RNA
Source: RNAcentral